GGGGGUGAAAUAGGUUCGACGGGGAAGCUGGACUAAGUGCCGCAGCAGAGGUGUCUUCCCUCUAUAAUCCAGGCAAGCACAUUAAGUGCCAACAACACUUCUUACGCCUACGCUGCUGCUGCCUAAUCGCAGUUAAGCACUAGGUCGGACGCCCUGCGGGGUGUCCCGUCCCUACCAUGUUUCUUCCGGUGGCAAGGUAGAGGGCGUCACGAGAACCGGGAUGCGUGAGAUUGACGCCGAUACUUUUUCACUAAGAUCAUCGGCUAGCGGCAGGUCGUACCCAGGUCUGACGGGGCUACUCCCGCGAAAUUUAAAUAGUCAGGCUAAGCUGUAGACGCGCUUAGGGGGGCUUUUUCGGACCCGACUUGCGACAGUCGGCACCUCCAUCG
RNAcentral lists this transfer-messenger RNA (389 nucleotides) under Anaerolineae bacterium. It matches the Rfam family "transfer-messenger RNA". From Rfam's summary of the family: Bacterial tmRNA, also known as 10Sa RNA or SsrA, is named for its dual tRNA and mRNA-like properties. Its role is to liberate the mRNA from a stalled ribosome. The record is from RNAcentral. Lineage: Bacteria; Bacillati; Chloroflexota; Anaerolineae.